This 497-nucleotide ribosomal RNA is filed under the name uncultured bacterium. Its description in RNAcentral is "partial 16S ribosomal RNA". It matches the Rfam family "Bacterial small subunit ribosomal RNA", at positions 28 to 507 of the family's 1533-position model. The record is from RNAcentral.
GACGAACGCUGGCGGCGUGCCUAAUACAUGCAAGUUGAGCGCUGAAGGUUGGUACUUGUACCAACUGGAUGAGCAGCGAACGGGUGAGUAACGCGUGGGGAAUCUGCCUUUGAGCGGGGGACAACAUUUGGAAACGAAUGCUAAUACCGCAUAAAAACUUUAAACACAAGUUUUAAGUUUGAAAGAUGCAAUUGCAUCACUCAAAGAUGAUCCCGCGUUGUAUUAGCUAGUUGGUGAGGUAAAGGCUCACCAAGGCGAUGAUACAUAGCCGACCUGAGAGGGUGAUCGGCACCAUUGGGCCGGAGACACGGCCCAAACUCCUACGGGAGGAAGCAGUAGGGAAUCUUGGGAAAUGGACGAAAGUCUGACCGAGAACGGCCGCGUGAGGGAAGAAGGUUUCCGGAUCGUAAAACUCUGUUGGUAGAGAAGACCGUUGGUGAGAGUGGAAAGCUCAUCAAGUGACGGUAACUACCCAGAAAGGGACGGCUAACUACGUG